This 425-nucleotide ribosomal RNA is filed under the name uncultured eukaryote. RNAcentral's name for it is "bacterial SSU rRNA". It matches the Rfam family "Eukaryotic small subunit ribosomal RNA", at positions 592 to 1017 of the family's 1831-position model. The record is from RNAcentral.
CAAUAGCGUAUAUUAAAGUUGUUGCGGUUAAAAAAGCUCGUAGUUGAAUUUCUGGUUGUGAAAGAUGGUCCGUUCCUCAAGGAAUGUGUACUAAUCAUUCAUGGCCAUCCUCGGGGAGAAUGUGUGUUACUUUCAGUAGUCGUGCACAGGAACCCGUCAUUAUCUGUGAGCAAAAUAGAGUGUUCAAAGCAGGCUUAUGCCGUUGAAUACAUUAGCAUGGAAUAAUAAGAUAGGACCUUGGUACUAUUUUGUUGGUUUGCGUACCUAGGUAAUGAUUAAUAGGGACAGUUGGGGAUAUUACUAUUUCGUUGUCAGAGGUGAAAUUCUUGGAUUUACGAAAGAGUAACUACUGCGAAAGCAUUUAUCAAGGAUGUUUUUCAUUAAUCAAGAACGAAAGUUAGGGGAUCGAAGACGAUCAGAUACCA